This 460-nucleotide ribosomal RNA is filed under the name uncultured bacterium. RNAcentral's name for it is "partial 16S ribosomal RNA". It matches the Rfam family "Bacterial small subunit ribosomal RNA", at positions 338 to 795 of the family's 1533-position model. The record is from RNAcentral.
CCUACGGGAGACAGCAGUGAGGAAUAUUGGUCAAUGGACGAGAGUCUGAACCAGCCAAGUAGCGUGAAGGAUGACUGCCCUAUGGGUUGUAAACUUCUUUUAUAUGGGAAUAAAACGUUCCACGUGUGGGAUUUUGUAUGUACCAUAUGAAUAAGGAUCGGCUAACUCCGUGCCAGCAGCCGCGGUAAUACGGAGGAUCCGAGCGUUAUCCGGAUUUAUUGGGUUUAAAGGGAGCGUAGGUGGAUUGUUAAGUCAGUUGUGAAAGUUUGCGGCUCAACCGUAAAAUUGCAGUUGAAACUGGCAGUCUUGAGUACAGUAGAGGUGUGCGGAAUUCGUGGUGUAGCGGUGAAAUGCUUAGAUAUCACGAAGAACUCCGAUUGCGAAGGCAGUUCACUGGACUGCAACUGACACUGAGGCUCGAAAGUGUGGGUAUCAAACAGGAUUAGAUACCCCAGUAGUC